RNAcentral lists this unclassified non-coding RNA (344 nucleotides) under Hevea brasiliensis (rubber tree). Lineage: Eukaryota; Viridiplantae; Streptophyta; Magnoliopsida; Malpighiales; Euphorbiaceae. The record is from RNAcentral.
GAAAGUAGGAGCUGGUUCUGGUGGAUUUUCCAGGUUGGUUUGCUUGAGAGUGCAUCCGUCCUUUAACCUCUUACAUCCCAUGAAAACUUUUGUCUCAUUCACUUCUGUUGAUGGAUCAAAGCAUGAAAUUCGACCUGAUUCUGGGGAUCGAUUUUAUGAAGGGAAUCUUAUGCCAAAUGGAGAAUGGAUGCUUGUUGAUAAAUAUCUUGGUAUUAGAUUGGUCAAUCGAUUUAACGUCAACGAGGUCUAUAAGUGUUUCAUCCACUGGGGAACAGGAACAGUUAAUCUAGAGCUGUGGUCCGAAGACAGGCCUGUAUCAAGGCAAUCUCCUCUCAGAAUUUCCC